Peromyscus maniculatus bairdii (prairie deer mouse) is the source of this 423-nucleotide non-coding RNA. The record is from RefSeq and is a predicted model, not a curated record. NCBI's taxonomy places the organism in Eukaryota, Metazoa, Chordata, Mammalia, Rodentia, Cricetidae.
UGUCUGUCUAUUGUUGCAAGACUCCCAAAAGUUGCUUGCGUGCUUCUCCCAUUUCUCAGGUUCUCAUCAUGUGUUGGCUUUGAACCCUCGGUUCUGGAUCAGCAUCCCAAGGAUUACAGGCAUGCACCCCACACCGAUCUGGGAGUACCUUUAUCAACACCUAUUCCAUGAGGAAUGGAGCUGAGAGUUGGAAAUAAGUGGAGAUGUGAAAAUCUACUCCGGGAUGAUGUAUACAAUUCUGGGCACAGAUGAGGAAUUCAGCUGAUGUGAGAGCAUCUAAAAGAACUGCAACCCAGCCUCCAGAGCCUUUGUUUGGUUUUUAUUGUUUGUUUGUUUGUUUGUUUGUUUGUUUGUUUGUUUGUUUGUUUUGGAUCCUCUACCAUGAAGCAUAGCCUCUGAGUUUCAUUAAAAGGAAUCAGCAAA